CCUACGGGAGGCAGCAGUGAGGAAUAUUGGUCAAUGGACGUAAGCCUGAACCAGCCAAGUCGCGUGAGGGAUGACUGCUCUAUGGGUCGUAAACCUCUUUUAUAUGGGAAUAAAGUGUUCCACGUGUGGGAUUUUGUAUGUACCAUAUGAAUAAGGAUCGGCUAACUCCGUGCCAGCAGCCGCGGUAAUACGGAGGAUGCGAGCGUUAUCCGGAUUUAUUGGGUUUAAAGGGUGCGUAGGUGGUCAUUUAAGUCAGCGGUGAAAGUUUGUGGCUCAACCAUAGAAUUGCCGUUGAAACUGGGUGGCUUGAGUAUAUUUGAGGUAGGCGGAAUGCGUGGUGUAGCGGUGAAAUGCUUAGAUAUCACGCAGAACUCCGAUUGCGAAGGCAGCUUACUAAGCUAUGACUGACACUGAAGCACGAAAGCGUGGGGAUCAAACAGGAUUAGAUACCCGAGUAGUC
RNAcentral lists this ribosomal RNA (460 nucleotides) under uncultured bacterium. Its description in RNAcentral is "partial 16S ribosomal RNA". It matches the Rfam family "Bacterial small subunit ribosomal RNA", at positions 338 to 795 of the family's 1533-position model. The record is from RNAcentral.